AUUCGGCUGUGAUGAUCAUUACACAGCUUUUAUACCAGUUCUGCUUCAGAAAUUUCUUGGUAGAGAGAGCUGAUAGUUUUGUGUUUAUU
Molecule: small nucleolar RNA, 89 nt
Organism: Papaver somniferum (opium poppy)
Lineage: Eukaryota; Viridiplantae; Streptophyta; Magnoliopsida; Ranunculales; Papaveraceae
Source: RefSeq, a predicted model, not a curated record